GGAGGGUCAAACUAUAUGAUCUGCCAGGUUACAGGAUUCUACAGGUAGGAUUGGAUGAGAUGAAUCAAUAUCUUGUCUCAGACAUUAGCUGGAUGAAUCUAGAAACUAUAAGUAGGAUAAAGGCUUCUUCAGUUCGGGAGUAUGCAGUAUAUUAAAAAACAGAUCUGCUGAUCAUUGCUAUGAAGAAAAAAUACACUUGUCUUGGGCAAGACAAUACAGAUAUUGAGAAUUGGAAAAAAGAGUGUCAAGUUUUGGAUAGAGCAGCACAGCAAGGAUGGCAAAGGAAAGGAGAGAACUAUUCCAAGUGUGUUCCCUUUCAAGCUCCAAACAUCGGGAUAGCCUUUGUAGCUUAUCAUGUACAAGUAAGGAUUCAGAGAAUCCCAGACUUCCUGGAGAACAACAUGCUGCCCACACUCAUUACCAAAGAAGAGAGAAUUCUUCUGAGAUGCCAACAGAAUAAAACAUUUUUAGUGUCGGUUUCUUGGCCUCUAUACAACAUUUUAUACUUAUCAGAUCCAAAUGAUGUGAUAUCACCAGAAAAAGUUUCCACUAG
Molecule: long non-coding RNA, 553 nt
Organism: Sarcophilus harrisii (Tasmanian devil)
Lineage: Eukaryota; Metazoa; Chordata; Mammalia; Dasyuromorphia; Dasyuridae
Source: Ensembl